This 466-nucleotide ribosomal RNA is filed under the name uncultured bacterium. RNAcentral's name for it is "partial 16S ribosomal RNA". It matches the Rfam family "Bacterial small subunit ribosomal RNA", at positions 28 to 507 of the family's 1533-position model. The record is from RNAcentral.
GAUGAACGCUGGCGGCGUGCUUAACACAUGCAAGUCGAACGGAAAGGCUCCUGCUUGCAGGGGCACUCGAGUGGCGAACGGGUGAGUAACACGUGGGUGAUCUGCCCUGCACUUCGGGAUAAGCCUGGGAAACUGGGUCUAAUACCGGAUAGGACCAUCGUUUAGUGUCGGUGGUGGAGAGUUUUUUCGGUGUGGGAUGAGCUCGCGGCCUAUCAGCUUGUUGGUGGGGUAAUGGCCUACCAAGGCGUCGACGGGUAGCCGGCCUGAGAGGGUGUACGGCCACAUUGGGACUGAGAUACGGCCCAGACUCCUACGGGAGGCAGCAGCGGGGAAUAUUGCACAAUGGGCGCAAGCCUGAUGCAGCGACGCCGCGUGGGGGAUGACGGCCUUCGGGUUGUAAACUCCUUUCGCCAGGGACGAAGCGAAAGUGACGGUACCUGGAUAAGAAGCACCGGCUAACUACGUG